Molecule: ribosomal RNA, 423 nt
Filed under: uncultured beta proteobacterium
Lineage: Bacteria; Pseudomonadati; Pseudomonadota; Betaproteobacteria
Description: bacterial SSU rRNA
Rfam family: Bacterial small subunit ribosomal RNA
Source: RNAcentral
AACGCGAAGAACCUUACCUACCCUUGACAUGUACGGAAUUCUGCUGAGAGGUGGAAGUGCUCGAAAGAGAACCGUAACACAGGUGCUGCAUGGCUGUCGUCAGCUCGUGUCGUGAGAUGUUGGGUUAAGUCCCGCAACGAGCGCAACCCUUGUCAUUAGUUGCUACGAAAGGGCACUCUAAUGAGACUGCCGGUGACAAACCGGAGGAAGGUGGGGAUGACGUCAAGUCCUCAUGGCCCUUAUGGGUAGGGCUUCACACGUCAUACAAUGGUACAUACAGAGGGCCGCCAACCCGCGAGGGGGAGCUAAUCCCAGAAAGUGUAUCGUAGUCCGGAUUGUAGUCUGCAACUCGACUACAUGAAGUUGGAAUCGCUAGUAAUCGCGGAUCAGCAUGUCGCGGUGAAUACGUUCCCGGGCCUUGUA